This 221-nucleotide long non-coding RNA is filed under the name Gossypium barbadense (sea-island cotton). RNAcentral describes it as "long non-coding RNA (GBAR_LNC009546)". Lineage: Eukaryota; Viridiplantae; Streptophyta; Magnoliopsida; Malvales; Malvaceae. The record is from RNAcentral.
UAAUGUAACACCCCUUACCCGUAUUCGUCGCCGGAAUAGGGUAGGAGACAUUACCGGAGUUUACCGAAUUAAUUUUCCAUUAAUACGAGUUAAAUACUAUUCAUUUACUAAAACAUGUCAUGGCGUCCUUUAGAUGGGCCUCCAAAGCCCAAAACAUACUUCGAGACCAAACCAGAAUUAAAUCGAAACCAUAGGGAAUUUUUCACAAAAUCCCAAAGUUU